GCGGACCUAAUCAUGACAAACCA
Molecule: non-coding RNA, 23 nt
Filed under: Arabidopsis thaliana (thale cress)
Lineage: Eukaryota; Viridiplantae; Streptophyta; Magnoliopsida; Brassicales; Brassicaceae
Source: RNAcentral